Molecule: long non-coding RNA, 609 nt
Organism: Gavialis gangeticus (Gharial)
Lineage: Eukaryota; Metazoa; Chordata; Crocodylia; Gavialidae
Exons: 2
Source: RefSeq, a predicted model, not a curated record
GAUCUGCAUGCACAAAUCUCAGCAGAGGUCUCUCAUCCUGUUCAAAUGACUGCCAUGACUCACAGGCGGUUCACAGGUUUUCCACCCAUGCUUUUUGGAAGGCCUGAGCUUCUCCUCUGCAGCAAAGCCCCCCGGGGGCUGCAUCUGGUGACUGGCACAGGAUCGCUCUGCCUCUAAUUGUGCUUACCCAGUGCCAAGUGAAAAUUAAAUGUUUGGCAAAGCGGAGAUCCUGCAUAUCCUUCCCUGCGUAUAUGCAAAGCGAUCAUCACGUUGCCCUGUGACGAGCUGGAUCCUCUUCACUCCAGGCACAUCGCUGCAGGGGAAACAGGCUCCCACUUUGUUGUCAUCUCACGUGUCCAUUCAAAGCUGAUAACGAAGACACCAGUGUUCGAGCCACAACCCUCCUUCUCCCAGGCAUGUUCGUUCUUAAAACCCAUAUUGCUCCCAGCAAAGUUCUCCAAGACAAAGAGUGCUGAUUAUAGACCAAAUGUGUGUGAUGGAGAGGUGGGAAAUUUUCCCAGAUUUCUCCACUUAUUGCUAUAUUUCUGUAUAGGCCAUUUCCAAUGCUUUGUUUCCUUCCCCCACCCCGAUUAAAAGCCUGCAAGUGUU